This 687-nucleotide ribosomal RNA is filed under the name Siccibacter turicensis. Its description in RNAcentral is "bacterial SSU rRNA". It matches the Rfam family "Bacterial small subunit ribosomal RNA", at positions 51 to 730 of the family's 1533-position model. The record is from RNAcentral. Lineage: Bacteria; Pseudomonadati; Pseudomonadota; Gammaproteobacteria; Enterobacterales; Enterobacteriaceae.
CUACCUGCAGUCGACGGUAACGGAAGCAGCUUGCUGCUUCGCUGACGAGUGGCGGACGGGUGAGUAAUGUCUGGGAAACUGCCUGAUGGAGGGGGAUAACUACUGGAAACGGUAGCUAAUACCGCAUAACGUCGCAAGACCAAAGAGGGGGACCUUCGGGCCUCUUGCCAUCGGAUGUGCCCAGAUGGGAUUAGCUAGUAGGUGGGGUAACGGCUCACCUAGGCGACGAUCCCUAGCUGGUCUGAGAGGAUGACCAGCCACACUGGAACUGAGACACGGUCCAGACUCCUACGGGAGGCAGCAGUGGGGAAUAUUGCACAAUGGGCGCAAGCCUGAUGCAGCCAUGCCGCGUGUAUGAAGAAGGCCUUCGGGUUGUAAAGUACUUUCAGCGGGGAGGAAGGCGAUAAGGUUAAUAACCUUGUCGAUUGACGUUACCCGCAGAAGAAGCACCGGCUAACUCCGUGCCAGCAGCCGCGGUAAUACGGAGGGUGCAAGCGUUAAUCGGAAUUACUGGGCGUAAAGCGCACGCAGGCGGUCUGUCAAGUCGGAUGUGAAAUCCCCGGGCUCAACCUGGGAACUGCAUUCGAAACUGGCAGGCUAGAGUCUUGUAGAGGGGGGUAGAAUUCCAGGUGUAGCGGUGAAAUGCGUAGAGAUCUGGAGGAAUACCGGUGGCGAAGGCGGCCCCCU